UUACACUAAUAGUCUAGUAGUA
RNAcentral lists this non-coding RNA (22 nucleotides) under Arabidopsis thaliana (thale cress). Lineage: Eukaryota; Viridiplantae; Streptophyta; Magnoliopsida; Brassicales; Brassicaceae. The record is from RNAcentral.